Molecule: ribosomal RNA, 468 nt
Filed under: uncultured bacterium
Lineage: Bacteria
Description: partial 16S ribosomal RNA
Rfam family: Bacterial small subunit ribosomal RNA
Source: RNAcentral
GACGAACGCUGGCGGCGUGCUUAACACAUGCAAGUCGAACGGAAAGGCCCUGCUUUUGUGGGGUGCUCGAGUGGCGAACGGGUGAGUAACACGUGAGUAACCUGCCCUUGACUUUGGGAUAACUUCAGGAAACUGGGGCUACUACCGGAUAGGAGCUCCUGCUGCAUGGUGGGGGUUGGAAAGUUUCGGCGGUUGGGGAUGGACUCGCGGCUUAUCAGCUUGUUGGUGGGGUAGUGGCUUACCAAGGCUGUGACGGGUAGCCGGCCUGAGAGGGUGACCGGGCACAUUGGGACUGAGAUACGGCCCAGACUCCUACGGGAGGCAGCAGUGGGGAAUAUUGCACAAUGGGCGGAAGCCUGAUGCAGCAACGCCGCGUGCGGGAUGACGGUCUUCGGGUUGUAAACCGCUUUCGCCUGUGACGAAGCGUGAGUGACGGUAAUGGGUAAAGAAGCACCGGCUAACUACGUG